GACGAACGCUGGCGGCGUGCUUAACACAUGCAAGUCGAACGGAAAGGCCUCUUUCGGGGGGUACUCGAGUGGCGAACGGGUGAGUAACACGUGAGUAACCUGCCCUUGACUUUGGGAUAACUUCAGGAAACUGGGGCUAAUACCGGAUAGGAGCUCCUGCUGCAUGGUGGGGGUUGGAAAGUUUCGGCGGUUGGGGAUGGACUCGCGGCUUAUCAGCUUGUUGGUGGGGUAGUGGCUUACCAAGGCUUUGACGGGUAGCCGGCCUGAGAGGGUGACCGGCCACAUUGGGACUGAGAUACGGCCCAGACGCCUACGGGAGGCAGAAGUGGGGAAGAUUGAACAAUGGGUGGAAGCCUGAUGCAGCAACGCCGUGUGCGGGAUGACGGACUUCGGGUUGGAAACCGCUUUCGCUCAUGACGAAGCUUUGUGUGACGGUAGUGGGUAAAGAAGCACCGGCUAACUACGUG
RNAcentral lists this ribosomal RNA (467 nucleotides) under uncultured bacterium. RNAcentral describes it as "partial 16S ribosomal RNA". It matches the Rfam family "Bacterial small subunit ribosomal RNA", at positions 28 to 507 of the family's 1533-position model. The record is from RNAcentral.